UACAGAGGUCUCAAGCGUUGUUCGGAUUCACUGGGCGUAAAGGGUGCGUAGGUGGUGAGGUAAGUCGGAUGUGAAAGCUCCAAGCUCAACUUGGAAAUGGCAUUGGAAACUACCUUGCUAGAGGGUUUGAGGGGGGACUGGAAUACUUGGUGUAGCAGUGAAAUGCGUAGAUAUCAAGUGGAACACCAGUGGCGAAGGCGAGUCCCUGGAAAACUCCUGACACUGAGGCACGAAAGCUAGGGGAGCAAACAGG
Molecule: ribosomal RNA, 253 nt
Filed under: uncultured bacterium
Lineage: Bacteria
Description: partial 16S ribosomal RNA
Rfam family: Bacterial small subunit ribosomal RNA
Source: RNAcentral